RNAcentral lists this long non-coding RNA (206 nucleotides) under Elaeis guineensis (African oil palm). RNAcentral's name for it is "long non-coding RNA (EGUI_LNC059257)". The record is from RNAcentral. Lineage: Eukaryota; Viridiplantae; Streptophyta; Magnoliopsida; Arecales; Arecaceae.
CAUCUCCUCAAACAUUGACCUUACUUGACUACCCAAUUGUUUCUUAUUUUAAUCGCUUUUCGUAAGCUUUUUUCUUACUACUCUAGCAGCUGAAUGCAUCAUCCCUGCUCUGCUUAUUGCAUCUUCAUCUUAUUGUUAAUUUCUUACUUUCAUACUUCUCAUCUUAUUCCCUUUCUACAUAAUCGCUUCAAUAUCACUUCCACUAC